AUGGACCCUUCCAUCCCUUUUUCCCGUGCAUAUGCAUCGGACUCGGAUGACGAUGGUCCUGAUGAACAAGUUGAUGCGGAGGGGUUCACGGUGAAGGAGGCCGAAGCUUUCGAGAAGGUAUUUGGUCGGGAUCAUCGGACUACAUUGUUCAAGGAUGUUAGUCUCGCGAAUGAAGCCGUGGUAGAUGGUGGCCAAUGUGUACCUCUUGGGGUUAGGCCAAGCUCUUAUCGUGAUUUGGGAGACGACAAGAACCGCAUUGCUAAAGGUUCUAAGUUCGACACCUUCUUGAAAUUGAAGAUGUGGCUCGACAACUACUCGGUUACGCAUUAUCGUCCACAUAAGGUGGUGCACUCGGACGUCAAAGUGCGCUACACGGUUGCAUGUGCAUGUGAAGAUGAAAUAUGUCCAUGGAUUGUGCGUGCAAGACCAUGGUAA
This 435-nucleotide ribosomal RNA is filed under the name Triticum aestivum (bread wheat). Its description in RNAcentral is "partial small subunit ribosomal RNA". The record is from RNAcentral. Lineage: Eukaryota; Viridiplantae; Streptophyta; Magnoliopsida; Poales; Poaceae.